AGUCGUAAUAAGGUCUCCGUAGGUGAACCUGCGGAGGGAUCAUUACCGAGUUAGGGUCUCACCGGCCCGAUCUCCCAACCCUUUGUCUACUUGACCAUCGUUGCUUCGGCGAGCCCGUCCUCACGGACCGCCGGGGGGUCUUUGUACCCCUUGGCCCGCGCUCGUCGAUAGCCCCCAAAUUUAAAAAAUCUUAACUAAACGUGUCUUGAAUCUAAGUAUUAUUGUUAAAUAAAAACAAAACUUUCAACAACGGAUCUCUUGGUUCUGGCAUCGAUGAAGAACGCAGCGAAAUGCGAUAAGUAAUGCGAAUUGCAGAAUUCCAGUGAGUCAUCGAAUCUUUGAACGCACAUUGCGCCCUUUGGUAUUCCGAAGGGCAUGCCUGUUCGAGCGUCAUUAUCACCCCUCAAGCCCUCGGCUUGGUGUUGGACGGUUUGGUGGAGACCCCCCUCGGGUGGGCUUCUACCCCUCCCAAAGACAAUGACGGCGGCCUCGUUGGACCCCCGGUACACUGAGUUCUUCACGGGACACGUAUCGGACACAUGGGUUUACGGGACACGGUCUGCCUCCCCUCAGGGAGAAUCUUUUUUUAUUAAGGUUGACCUCGGAUCAGGUAGGGAUACCCGCUGAACUUAA
Molecule: ribosomal RNA, 633 nt
Filed under: uncultured fungus
Lineage: Eukaryota; Fungi
Description: eukaryotic LSU rRNA
Rfam family: 5.8S ribosomal RNA (bases 239-393)
Source: RNAcentral